RNAcentral lists this small nuclear RNA (316 nucleotides) under Chinchilla lanigera (long-tailed chinchilla). RNAcentral's name for it is "7SK RNA (ENSCLAG00000021485.1)". It matches the Rfam family "7SK RNA". Rfam says of the family: 7SK was discovered as an abundant small nuclear RNA in the mid-70s but a possible function has only recently been suggested. Two independent studies have found that 7SK RNA binds the CDK9/cyclin T complex (known as elongation factor P-TEFb). Lineage: Eukaryota; Metazoa; Chordata; Mammalia; Rodentia; Chinchillidae. The record is from RNAcentral.
GGAUGUGAGGGCCAUCUGACUGUGAUAUCUGUCAACCUGUGAAUUGCCAGGGGUGAUCUGGCUGAUCUGGCUGGCCAGGCGGGUGUCCCCUUCCUCCCUCAAAACUCCAUAUGUGUCCCUCCUGAAGCUGUGCACUCCAUGGAGGAAGACAACCAUCCCCAACAGAAGCGGACCAUUUCUGGGUCAAGGGUAUAGGAGUAGCUGCACUCCCUGGCUAGGACCUCCAAACAAGCACUCAAGAACCAAGGACCAUUUGUAAUUCCAUAUGAAUAUUAAGAUUUUAAAAAUUUUCUAUAAAAUAUGCCAGUGGGAUUUU